Molecule: long non-coding RNA, 277 nt
Filed under: Elaeis guineensis (African oil palm)
Lineage: Eukaryota; Viridiplantae; Streptophyta; Magnoliopsida; Arecales; Arecaceae
Description: long non-coding RNA (EGUI_LNC016428)
Source: RNAcentral
CCGUAGAGUCUGAUAGUCGAGUAGCGUCCGAUGUAUCCGAUAGUCGAGUAACGUCCAACGUAUUCAGAUAGGAUAAUGAUGGCAAGUCGAAUAUCCGUUGUCCGGCCCUUGGUCAGACGUGCGCGUCAGGACGUAUGAUAAACGGUGGCAAACCGAAUAUCCUUCGACCGAUCGUGAUCAAGUCGGUAUGUCGCAAGUCGAACUGCGGUUGUCUUGGGGUUUCGCCACUCUAAGUCGAAGCUAAGCCGGCAAGUUAGCCAGCCGCGUUGGUCAAGGC